UAGGCUGCCGUGUGACGUGUACCUUCGCCCUCCGAGAGCUUUUCUCCCAGCCGGCCCAAACUGUGGUUGAUCCUAGAAAGACCUGGUACUGGAAUCCAUCUUGAAUAUGGUACUUUUCCAUGGGGAUGGGCAUAUUGAACCAAAGGUUCCUGUCCUUGGAGAAAGACUGUCUAAAGAAUGGAAAGCAAUCAGUCUUUGUCUUCAGCUGGCUUUUGAAACUGCCUUGACACCACCCUAAGAAGAUACACACAAAGAAACCUGGAAACAAAGAACUCUAAAGACCUCUGAAAAGCUUUAGACCCAGGACAAAGUAAAGAUCAACUCUGAAUUGAUGCAUUUUACUUGAGAUAAGAACAGCUGUUGAGGAUCGACUGGGUGGAAUGCUAAUGAAAAAGAGGACGGUGGCGUUGAAACAAUUGACCGACAUUCUCCGAACGACUAAGAGAAUCCUACAGAGGCAAACGGCUCACAUCUCUGGCUCCUUCUCCCUCUGAUUCCCAAAGGACCCAUGGCUGGGUGACACGCCGAAGGAAAUGAACAAAGGGAAAAUAGGGAAAUAGAUUCCCAGCACUGAGAUGUCGACAUUUUGAACGGUACUGAAAGAAAUCCGCCAUGCUGCUGUGGCCUGCUACCACGUCAAAAUACAACUGUGUGAGGGUGAGGGUGAUUUUUGUGUGUGUGUGUGGCAGCGUCUGUAUUUUUUGGUAGUACAAUAUCUACUACAAUGUGCUCCUGGCUCAUGACCCGGGGUCAGGCAAAACAAAUCUAUGUUAGUCUUGCUAACCUUUUCCCAACUCCUUCCCAUAUCCUCUUGAUGGGACCAGAAUUCCAGAUCAACACCUCCUUGAGAUGAAUGGGAGCAGUAUCGUCAGUUUUGUUGUGUUUGGAGUCUGGCAGACAUCCACUGUAUCAGCUUGAGUUUGACAGUCACCCUGACAGCCUUAAAGGUGAGAGAGAAGAGUUUAGAGUCUAUGGCAGGGGCUGGCUUAAAGUUGGAAACUUCACAGCCCAAAGCAGCGUAGAAAAUAGAUGGCUGGUUUGAGAAGAUGGUUAAGACCUUGCCACAGCUGUGUUGAAAUCUGGCAAGUAGUAGAGUUCCUUACAAUGACUGAGAUACAGUAUGGACCUGUCUCCACAGCUUAGGCAAAAGAACAGUCAAUUUGUCGGGGAAGAUGGCGCCUGAAUUUCUAAAGAUCGGCUCCUUUAGCUAAUAAAGUUAGCCUGGAUUUUAACUCAUUGGGCUGAUGGUGCAGGAGAGCACGUUAGCAAUAAGCAAUUAGCAAUAAGCGAGCUUCCUAAUGCUUUCCCGCAUCCUGAUUGUGGUGCGUUCUGUUGAGCAAUUAGGUGAGCCCUUAGGUUGGGUUCUGCAGGCCGGUUACUCUCUGCUGUUAAUUAGGAUCAUGUGACUCGGGGCUGUAGAGUGCAGCUGGACAGAUUUGGAGCUGAGUGCAAAGGCUGAGCAAAAGUCUAUCAAUGACAUUGGUACCUAUGGGUCUGUUGGACUCACUGUUCAAAGCUCAUCGUUGCAAAGGAAGCACCGGGUGGCCAGGAAGGGGAACUAGAGGCAGCAACGAAGGGGUCAUGAUGCAGUGUGGACAAGGCAUAGGGUGCAGCUCAAACUCGUCAAUCGAUCAAAGCACUUUCACGAUGGAGGGUUUUGUUCUCUUUGUGGCGGGAGAGGGGGAUGGAAACACACACAGAUCCGUUGCCAAGCUGGGGGAUAGAACUCCUAGAGCUCUGGACGACCACUGGGCCCAUUUCCUGCCACGUCUAGAUCUCCUCGGCCCCCUUCAAAUGAUGUGUACAGGGUCAAGUGUGGGGAGUCGGCUGUGCUGAAGGUGGAGUCCGCGAGAGCCCCCGGACCCAAGUGCUGUUUUGGGGGCAUACUUUUUUGUUGUGCUCUUUUAGUCUGUGGAACCAGCCUUUCAAACAGGAGAUGGCUGUGUGUGUGUGUGUGUGUGUGUGUGUGUGUGUGUGUGUGUUUGCGUGACUCCCUGUCAAAAAUCUCCCCAGCUGAAUUUCACAGCAGCAAUAAAUAGCGUUGGAGGGGGUUGUGUGGUAGCUCUCUUCCCUCAGGGCUGGCCCAUCCCUCCUUUGAAUCUCACCGGGAUUAGGGCUGGGCUCUGCUGUGGGCAAGGGGGAGGAUAGACCCCGAGUUCAGCAGCUGGAUGAGGUGAGGCCGCUGGGGCCACGUGGGGACUGUUAAACUUGUUCGCUGCCCGGGUGCUCUGCUGCGGCCGUGGGCCGUGCCGCGCUUUCUAACCCCCCUCAAUUUAAACAUUGGUGCGGCUGCCAUUUAUUCCCAGGGGGAGGAAGAGCUGAGGUAGAUUUUGCCGUUGGGGAUUGCUAGUCAGGUCCCCUGCAAUGGGCUAGCCCACCCCAGGUGUAGGGGGGUGAGUUAGCCCGGGAAAUCCCAGGCCUAAGGUGAGCCUGGUCCCUAGAGGGGAAUCCUGGCCCUCGGAGUGAAUGCGCCUUGAGCUACCUUGCAGGGACCAGCGGCUACAUAGCUAGUCAGCGUUCCCGCUAAGCU
This is a non-coding RNA of Pelodiscus sinensis (Chinese soft-shelled turtle), 2530 nucleotides long. NCBI's taxonomy places the organism in Eukaryota, Metazoa, Chordata, Testudines, Trionychidae. The record is from RefSeq and is a predicted model, not a curated record.